Long non-coding RNA from Salvelinus sp. IW2-2015, 669 nucleotides. RefSeq lists it as uncharacterized. The record is from RefSeq and is a predicted model, not a curated record. NCBI's taxonomy places the organism in Eukaryota, Metazoa, Chordata, Actinopteri, Salmoniformes, Salmonidae.
UUAAUAAUGGUUUGUAUCUGUCACUUAGCAGUAGUGAACUAUGAAUGGGGGCGGUGCCUCUCAUCUUGGUUUCAGGUCAGGGAAAAUGAAACUUAAAUCCUCAUCAUCACAAUAUCAUCAACUGAGGCAGCAGAGACAGACGGGACAAAGUAACGGACACCCUCUUCAUUGAGUUGAAUUGAGUUCAGGAUCAACAACAGAGGAAAAGUACAACAACAUGAUGACUUCAGCUCCUGAUAUGCCAGAUUGUGGGCCGAUGGUGGUUACUGUUGGAUUGUUGACGUUGAUCAUUGGAAUCGUUGUUGGAGUGAAACUGAAGGAGGCCACAGACCAGUUCAUUCAGCAACAUAAAUGGAAGCUCAUUGCCUUUGUCACUGUUUUUAUUGUUGUUUCUAUCAUGGUGCUUCUGAACUUGAAGAAACAGGAAGUUUAGAGGGAUACUGAAGCAUGGCUCCUACAAUUAGCAAACACUUCUCAGUCAGUCACACACAAGUAUUGAAUGAAUGACUGAUUUGUACGUUGUUAUGUACAUUUGUUAUACAUAGCAGUAAAAUACUUUUCCAAAAAUGCAUGUGUCCAUUGUUGAUGAAAAGGUGGCGGCAGGUAACCUAGCUGUUGAGAUUGUUGGGCCAGUAACUGAAAGGUUGCUGGUUUGAAUCCGCAAGCAGA